GAAAUGCGAUAAUUAAUGUGUAUUGCAGAAUUCAGUGAAUCAUCGAGUCUUUGAACGCACAUUGCGCCCCCUGGUAUUCCGGGGGGCAUGCCUGUCCGAGCGUCAUUGCUGCCCUCAAGCACGGCUUGUGUGUUGGGCUUCCGUCCCUGGCAACGGGGACGGGCCCAAAAGGCAGUGGCGGCACCAUGUCUGGUCCUCGAGCGUAUGGGGCUUUGUCACCCGCUCCCGUAGGUCCAGCUGGCAGCUAGCCUCGCAACCAAUCUUUUUAACCAGGUUGACCUCGGAUCAGGUAGGGAUACCCGCUGAACUUAAGC
Molecule: unclassified non-coding RNA, 314 nt
Filed under: plant metagenome
Description: partial contains 5.8S ribosomal RNA, internal transcribed spacer 2, and large subunit ribosomal RNA
Rfam family: 5.8S ribosomal RNA (bases 1-105)
Source: RNAcentral